Molecule: ribosomal RNA, 577 nt
Filed under: Bacillus sp. BAB-5806
Lineage: Bacteria; Bacillati; Bacillota; Bacilli; Caryophanales; Bacillaceae
Description: bacterial SSU rRNA
Rfam family: Bacterial small subunit ribosomal RNA
Source: RNAcentral
AUUAUAAAAGGUGGCUUUUAGCUACCACUUACAGAUGGACCCGCGGCGCAUUAGCUAGUUGGUGAGGUAACGGCUCACCAAGGCAACGAUGCGUAGCCGACCUGAGAGGGUGAUCGGCCACACUGGGACUGAGACACGGCCCAGACUCCUACGGGAGGCAGCAGUAGGGAAUCUUCCGCAAUGGACGAAAGUCUGACGGAGCAACGCCGCGUGAGUGAUGAAGGUUUUCGGAUCGUAAAACUCUGUUGUUAGGGAAGAACAAGUACCGUUCGAAUAGGGCGGUACCUUGACGGUACCUAACCAGAAAGCCACGGCUAACUACGUGCCAGCAGCCGCGGUAAUACGUAGGUGGCAAGCGUUGUCCGGAAUUAUUGGGCGUAAAGCGCGCGCAGGCGGUUUCUUAAGUCUGAUGUGAAAGCCCCCGGCUCAACCGGGGAGGGUCAUUGGAAACUGGGGAACUUGAGUGCAGAAGAGGAGAGUGGAAUUCCACGUGUAGCGGUGAAAUGCGUAGAGAUGUGGAGGAACACCAGUGGCGAAGGCGACUCUCUGGUCUGUAACUGACGCUGAGGCGCGAAAG